AGAGUUUGGAAUCUGGCUCAGAUUGAACGCUGGCGGCAUGCCUUACACAUGCAAGUCGAACGGCAGCGCGGGGCAACCUGGCGGCGAGUGGCGAACGGGUGAGUAAUAUAUCGGAACGUACCCUGGAGUGGGGGAUAACGUAGCGAAAGUUACGCUAAUACCGCAUACGAUCUAAGGAUGAAAGUGGGGGAUCGCAAGACCUCAUGCUCCUGGAGCGGCCGAUAUCUGAUUAGCUAGUUGGUGGGGUAAAGGCCUACCAAGGCAUCGAUCAGUAGCUGGUCUGAGAGGACGACCAGCCACACUGGAACUGAGACACGGUCCAGACUCCUACGGGAGGCAGCAGUGGGGAAUUUUGGACAAUGGGCGAAAGCCUGAUCCAGCAAUGCCGCGUGAGUGAAGAAGGCCUUCGGGUUGUAAAGCUCUUUUGUCAGGGAAGAAACGGUGAGUUCUAAUACAGCUUGCUAAUGACGGUACCUGAAGAAUAAGCACCGGCUAACUACGUGCCAGCAGCCGCGGUAAUACGUAGGGUGCAAGCGUUAAUCGGAAUUACUGGGCGUAAAGCGUGCGCAGGCGGUUUUGUAAGUCUGUCGUGAAAUCCCCGGGCUCAACCUGGGAAUGGCGAUGGAGACUGCAAGGCUAGAGUUUGGCAGAGGGGGGUAGAAUUCCACGUGUAGCAGUGAAAUGCGUAGAUAUGUGGAGGAACACCUGAUGGCGAAGGCAGCCCCCUGGGUCAAGACUGACGCUCAUGCACGAAAGCGUGGGGAGCAAACAGGAUUAGAUACCCUGGUAGUCCACGCCCUAAACGAUGUCUACUAGUUGUCGGGUCUUAAUUGACUUGGUAACGCAGCUAACGCGUGAAGUAGACCGCCUGGGGAA
This 876-nucleotide ribosomal RNA is filed under the name Duganella sp. JPPB B33. Its description in RNAcentral is "bacterial SSU rRNA". It matches the Rfam family "Bacterial small subunit ribosomal RNA", at positions 8 to 880 of the family's 1533-position model. The record is from RNAcentral. Lineage: Bacteria; Pseudomonadati; Pseudomonadota; Betaproteobacteria; Burkholderiales; Oxalobacteraceae.